UUAAGCGACUAAGCGUACACGGUGGAUGCCCUGGCAGUCAGAGGCGAUGAAGGACGUGCUAAUCUGCGAUAAGCGUCGGUAAGGUGAUAUGAACCGUUAUAACCGGCGAUUUCCGAAUGGGGAAACCCAGUGUGUUUCGACACACUAUCAUUAACUGAAUCCAUAGGUUAAUGAGGCGAACCGGGGGAACUGAAACAUCUAAGUACCCCGAGGAAAAGAAAUCAACCGAGAUUCCCCCAGUAGCGGCGAGCGAACGGGGAGCAGCCCAGAGCCUGAAUCAGUGUGUGUGUUAGUGGAAGCGUCUGGAAAGGCGUGCGAUACAGGGUGACAGCCCCGUACACAAAAAUGCACAUACUGUGAGCUCGAUGAGUAGGGCGGGACACGUGGUAUCCUGUCUGAAUAUGGGGGGACCAUCCUCCAAGGCUAAAUACUCCUGACUGACCGAUAGUGAACCAGUACCGUGAGGGAAAGGCGAAAAGAACCCCGGCGAGGGGAGUGAAAAAGAACCUGAAACCGUGUACGUACAAGCAGUGGGAGCACGCUUAGGCGUGUGACUGCGUACCUUUUGUAUAAUGGGUCAGCGACUUAUAUUCUGUAGCAAGGUUAACCGAAUAGGGGAGCCGAAGGGAAACCGAGUCUUAACUGGGCGUUAAGUUGCAGGGUAUAGACCCGAAACCCGGUGAUCUAGCCAUGGGCAGGUUGAAGGUUGGGUAACACUAACUGGAGGACCGAACCGACUAAUGUUGAAAAAUUAGCGGAUGACUUGUGGCUGGGGGUGAAAGGCCAAUCAAACCGGGAGAUAGCUGGUUCUCCCCGAAAGCUAUUUAGGUAGCGCCUCGUGAAUUCAUCUCCGGGGGUAGAGCACUGUUUCGGCAAGGGGGUCAUCCCGACUUACCAACCCGAUGCAAACUGCGAAUACCGGAGAAUGUUAUCACGGGAGACACACGGCGGGUGCUAACGUCCGUCGUGAAGAGGGAAACAACCCAGACCGCCAGCUAAGGUCCCAAAGUCAUGGUUAAGUGGGAAACGAUGUGGGAAGGCCCAGACAGCCAGGAUGUUGGCUUAGAAGCAGCCAUCAUUUAAAGAAAGCGUAAUAGCUCACUGGUCGAGUCGGCCUGCGCGGAAGAUGUAACGGGGCUAAACCAUGCACCGAAGCUGCGGCAGCGACACUAUGUGUUGUUGGGUAGGGGAGCGUUCUGUAAGCCUGUGAAGGUGUACUGUGAGGUAUGCUGGAGGUAUCAGAAGUGCGAAUGCUGACAUAAGUAACGAUAAAGCGGGUGAAAAGCCCGCUCGCCGGAAGACCAAGGGUUCCUGUCCAACGUUAAUCGGGGCAGGGUGAGUCGACCCCUAAGGCGAGGCCGAAAGGCGUAGUCGAUGGGAAACAGGUUAAUAUUCCUGUACUUGGUGUUACUGCGAAGGGGGGACGGAGAAGGCUAUGUUGGCCGGGCGACGGUUGUCCCGGUUUAAGCGUGUAGGCUGGUUUUCCAGGCAAAUCCGGAAAAUCAAGGCUGAGGCGUGAUGACGAGGCACUACGGUGCUGAAGCAACAAAUGCCCUGCUUCCAGGAAAAGCCUCUAAGCAUCAGGUAACAUCAAAUCGUACCCCAAACCGACACAGGUGGUCAGGUAGAGAAUACCAAGGCGCUUGAGAGAACUCGGGUGAAGGAACUAGGCAAAAUGGUGCCGUAACUUCGGGAGAAGGCACGCUGAUAUGUAGGUGAAGCGACUUGCUCGUGGAGCUGAAAUCAGUCGAAGAUACCAGCUGGCUGCAACUGUUUAUUAAAAACACAGCACUGUGCAAACACGAAAGUGGACGUAUACGGUGUGACGCCUGCCCGGUGCCGGAAGGUUAAUUGAUGGGGUCAGCGCAAGCGAAGCUCUUGAUCGAAGCCCCGGUAAACGGCGGCCGUAACUAUAACGGUCCUAAGGUAGCGAAAUUCCUUGUCGGGUAAGUUCCGACCUGCACGAAUGGCGUAAUGAUGGCCAGGCUGUCUCCACCCGAGACUCAGUGAAAUUGAACUCGCUGUGAAGAUGCAGUGUACCCGCGGCAAGACGGAAAGACCCCGUGAACCUUUACUAUAGCUUGACACUGAACAUUGAGCCUUGAUGUGUAGGAUAGGUGGGAGGCUUUGAAGUGUGGACGCCAGUCUGCAUGGAGCCGACCUUGAAAUACCACCCUUUAAUGUUUGAUGUUCUAACGUUGACCCGUAAUCCGGGUUGCGGACAGUGUCUGGUGGGUAGUUUGACUGGGGCGGUCUCCUCCUAAAGAGUAACGGAGGAGCACGAAGGUUGGCUAAUCCUGGUCGGACAUCAGGAGGUUAGUGCAAUGGCAUAAGCCAGCUUGACUGCGAGCGUGACGGCGCGAGCAGGUGCGAAAGCAGGUCAUAGUGAUCCGGUGGUUCUGAAUGGAAGGGCCAUCGCUCAACGGAUAAAAGGUACUCCGGGGAUAACAGGCUGAUACCGCCCAAGAGUUCAUAUCGACGGCGGUGUUUGGCACCUCGAUGUCGGCUCAUCACAUCCUGGGGCUGAAGUAGGUCCCAAGGGUAUGGCUGUUCGCCAUUUAAAGUGGUACGCGAGCUGGGUUUAGAACGUCGUGAGACAGUUCGGUCCCUAUCUGCCGUGGGCGCUGGAGAACUGAGGGGGGCUGCUCCUAGUACGAGAGGACCGGAGUGGACGCAUCACUGGUGUUCGGGUUGUCAUGCCAAUGGCACUGCCCGGUAGCUAAAUGCGGAAGAGAUAAGUGCUGAAAGCAUCUAAGCACGAAACUUGCCCCGAGAUGAGUUCUCCCUGACUCCUUGAGAGUCCUGAAGGAACGUUGAAGACGACGACGUUGAUAGGCCGGGUGUGUAAGCGCAGCGAUGCGUUGAGCUAACCGGUACUAAUGAACCGUGAGGCUUAACCUU
Molecule: ribosomal RNA, 2901 nt
Filed under: Escherichia coli
Lineage: Bacteria; Pseudomonadati; Pseudomonadota; Gammaproteobacteria; Enterobacterales; Enterobacteriaceae
Description: bacterial LSU rRNA
Rfam family: Bacterial large subunit ribosomal RNA
Source: RNAcentral